RNAcentral lists this long non-coding RNA (1752 nucleotides) under Theobroma cacao (cacao). RNAcentral's name for it is "long non-coding RNA (TCAC_LNC002463)". Lineage: Eukaryota; Viridiplantae; Streptophyta; Magnoliopsida; Malvales; Malvaceae. The record is from RNAcentral.
AAAGCAAGAACAAAGGAAGAAAAGAAAGAACAAGAACCCUAGGGUGAAAAUUCAAGAGAAAAUUGGUGGAUUCCAAGUAAUCAAGCAAUCAAAGGUAAAAUUUCUUGAUUUUUACUUGUGAUCUACCUUUCCCAUGCAUUAUUUUGCAUUUUCCAUGGUUGAAUCACAAGAUAUCAUGAAGGAUUCAUGGCUAACUGAAUUUAGAGAGAGAAGAUUUGAUGAUUUAUUUGGUUAGAUUUUGAGAUAUUUUAGUGUUUACAGUUGAUUUAUCAUGUUUGGAAGAAAAACAAGUAAGAAAAAUCACAUGUUCUUCAUGGAUUCUUCAUUGGCUGAAUUUCAUAAAGACAAUAUUGAAGAUGAAUCUUGUGAUGUCUUAUGUUAUUUAGUUAAAUUUAAUGAAUUGUGGUGGUGGAAACCGAAAAUGGUAAUGUUUAGCAUGAAAAAUCGUAUACCCCUCAAGAACCUCCAUUGGCCGAAUCUUCCUUGUAGAGUAUUGAUGAUGAUUUUGAUUUUAUUUCAAGUGAUUUGGUUAGGAAUUAGUGAUUUAUGGUGUGAGAAUCAAGCUUGAAAACAUUAUAGUGUUGAUGCACCCACCAUGGCCGAAUUUUCCAAGAGAAAAUGUGACGAUGAUUUUGCCAUAUUUCAAGUUAUUUAAUUUGUGUUUGAUGAUUUGGAGUAUUGGGAGAAAAAUGGAAUUAAAUAGAGUUAAAUUGGACAUAUUGGCGAAUUAAUUGGGUGAUAGAUCGAAUUAGGCCACUACUGUUUUAUUUAGGUACACAAUUGAAUUUGUGCAGAACACCGUAUUUAAACGAUAAUCUGAACAAUUUACAUCUCAUUUCAUGUAUUAGUAUAAAGCCUGAAUUGGUUUUAUAACAAUUUAGCACAAAUGUAAUAAAUGGUUUAUUGUGCAUUAUGUCUAGGUGGUGAGCAUUCUGGCAAAAGUAAAGAGAUAGUACCCGAGGAUCAAGAAUCGGAGUACUUGAAACUCGAUUUCCAUUACAGUGAGUAACCUUACUAUCGUCUUAAUUAUCUAAAGUGAUUUUUAUCUGAUUUUGUGAUUUUAUGGAAAAUGAGUUUAAAUGGUAAAUCUUUAUGUUUUAUAAACAAAAUGUGUUUAAAUGAAAUGAUUCUAUAAAUUGUCUUGAAAUUGAAUGAUGGCUUUGAAAAUAGAGUAAUUGGAGACCAUUUGAUGAAUUGUGAAUUUAUGGUUCUAAUUUAUUGGCUUAUGGCAAUAUUGGUAUGAAUGGCUGAAUUGGUAUUUGUAUUGAAUAUGUAUAAACUAUUGUUCACCUUGAUAAGCUGGAUAAUGAUAAAAUUGUCAUGUCAUGCUGUUAAAUUUUAUUGAAUUGGUGGGUUAUUGAUUAGUCAUUGCAGUGGAGGAGUUCUGUGGACCAGCCUAUUAGAGGGGGCACGGUAACCCUAUUAUAUUCAUACCUCAGUAUGAGAGGCUCAGAUGGAUAAAUCCUGAGGUUAACACUUUAGAGUUCACUUCACGCCAAACCACCACGUGAGGGUGAACUCAGCCAACGCGAAGAAACGGCUAUAUUUUCAAAAUAAAAACAUGAUUUAUGCGUACAUAACUUUUUAACAGCCUUGGCGGACUCGGUUGGGAUAGCCAUCGACCAAGGUAUCCUUGACAACUGAGUAUGAGAGUGAUUUUGGCACGAGCCAAAGUUUAAGAAAUUCAUAAGCCAUGUUGAUUACUCAAUUUAUAUGAAUUGAUUUUAUUUGAUUGAAAUGAGUUGAAAGGUG